Molecule: long non-coding RNA, 1206 nt
Organism: Cotesia glomerata
Lineage: Eukaryota; Metazoa; Arthropoda; Insecta; Hymenoptera; Braconidae
Exons: 2
Source: RefSeq, a predicted model, not a curated record
UGGUGAAUAGAAUUUCAUACUCGUCAGGGAUGAAGUUCUGCGAAUAAUAAAACUGUCAUUAAAUAUAUCGCUAGGUUAUGAAAAGCUUACACAAUUACAGAAUAUUUAUACCAUGAGUUAGCAAAGUUGUAGGUAUUAAUAUAAAUUGGCAUACAAACAGGUCAUAUUGUAUCGGGAAAACCUAAUUAUAUCGAUGUGGCUGGGACAAACCGCACAUUGUUCAUUAUCACUAAAUGCUUAAAUACUAGUACAGUUGUCGAAACAAAUUCUAUUUAGACAAAAUUUAGAGCGAUUUAUUUCAGGUCAGUUAAAGUGCCAGUUGUUGUAUAGAUCUAUUAUUAUCAAGUUCCGAAACUGAUGAGAUUUUUAUUACUGUGUAGGGAUUAAAUUUCCUGUAACUAUGCAUUUAUAAAAUUUAAAAUUAUGUUGCGAAUGAUCCGGUCUGUGUGAUAUCGAUAUUCUUGACUGUACUUUAGUUUCUUUUCCUUGUAGAUAGUCAUUUUCCUGCUGAAAUAACACAGAAUGUUAGAUCAGUACUAACUAAGCUCUCUAACGAAACGAAUACCAUUGACCUGCUCAUUUGCCGUAAUAAAACGUGUAUUAUUUAAACGUAAUGGAGAGACGUGCUCGGAUAAAAACUUUCUGCGCUUGCUGUGGAAAAGGCCCGUAAGUACUCUCCAAUAAUUGAUUAAAUUCGUAGAUAAACAUCAAACUAUUUCUCUUUGUAAACUUUGUAUUUAGAAGAACUCUUAUAAAAGUAGAGUUUGUAGGGAUGCAAGACAAUAGUCUAUUCAAAGGUAGAUCGCAAAUCGAGCCUCUUUUAAGUUAUUCUAUUCCAUUUAAAAACAAACAUUUUACCUGCGUUAAGUACUAACGCCGAUCGCUGCCUGUUACCAAUCCAUUUCAUUUACUAUAUUCUAGCCCACCACGGCGGAGCCCCGUUGAGCCAGCCCAGUUAGCCCCACGAAACCGGGGUAGCUCUAGAUCACUAGAAAACAUUCCAGCGUCCACAUACCGGGAGAAAAAAAAGUCAGUCACGAAGAAAGAGCAUUUAGAAAUAUUUUAUUCACGUAUUAUAUAGUAUAUUUAGUAUGAAUAUGGAGUUUCAAUUCGAUUUUAUGAUUUAGAAUCAAAUAACAUCGAAUUCAACUAAAUUGCUGCAUUAAAUUUUUGGAUUUUUAGAAGAGGUUUUAUUUGUCAGAUAAA